Molecule: non-coding RNA, 45 nt
Organism: Schistosoma haematobium
Lineage: Eukaryota; Metazoa; Platyhelminthes; Trematoda; Strigeidida; Schistosomatidae
Source: Rfam
ACCUUGCUGACGAGUGCCAAAUAACACGAAAUCCAGAUCCAGGGU